UGUAUGUAUGUAGGAAAUAUCCUUAAACAAAGUGGCUAAUGCUAAUGCUAAUGCUAUUAGAUGGCAACAGAGGCAGAGUGCAGAGCAGAGUGAAACUGAGUUUAAGAGGCAGAGGCAGAGGUGGUUGGUUCAUGAAUCAUCAUCAUCAUCAGUUCAUGGCUUCAUAAUCAUGGAACGUGCAUUGGGGUGUCUAUUUUCAAGAUUUUGGUAUCUAAACUUCAAGGAACGUGCACUAGGGUGCAUUGGGGUGUUAAACUUCAAGUUUUGUGUGCUUUGUCCUCUUAACUCCAACGGACUGUUUGAACUUUGGACUUGAAGUGUAGUCAAUGGCAAAAAUGGUGACAUAUCAACAAUUUUGUUAGAUUGCAUAGCAGGCACAUUGGAUGAAUUCGAAUGAGCGAAGUGAUAGUCAAUCUAUCAAGUAGUUAUUAAAGACAAUUCUUUGUAAAUAUUCUACCUAUUUAUGCCUAUAUUUAUUAAUUUGUG
This is a long non-coding RNA of Quercus lobata, 486 nucleotides long. RefSeq lists it as uncharacterized. The transcript is spliced from 3 exons. The record is from RefSeq and is a predicted model, not a curated record. NCBI's taxonomy places the organism in Eukaryota, Viridiplantae, Streptophyta, Magnoliopsida, Fagales, Fagaceae.